GAAAGAGAACUGAUACUACUAAGACCUUGAGUUAUUUUAUUGCUAAAAGAACCUUUAUCAAAGUAGUAGAGAUCAUCAAGCAACCUAGCACUCCCAAUCAUCCUCCCCGAAUCCUGAAAAAUACAAUGAGAUUCAAAGAAUGUAACAUAAAAAUUAGAAUAUUUGGAAAAUUUAGAAACGGAUAAAAGAGUACAGGCUAAUUUUGGAACAUGUAAGAUAGAUUGGAGAGAAAUAUUUUUGGUCAAUUUAAUAGUUCCUUUUCCUACAACAGUAGAAAAACUACCAUCAACAUUUCUAAUUUUCUCAUUGCAAUAUAUUGAAGAGUAUGAAUUAAAAGAAGACGAAGAACUAGUCAUGUGAUCUGAAGCUCUAGAACCAAUAAUCCAUGGGGAUGAAUUACUACACGAGAAUGUCUUGUCUUGGGAUCUGUGUGAGUCAAAGAAACACAUGAAUUAUUAUAUAAAAAAUUGGUGGUUGACAGUUGUAGGAUUUGAUGAAUUUGCUCUCAUAACAUGGUAGAAGAUUUAGCAAAUAGUAGAAAUCCACCCAAAAAAUAUAGAGUUUUUUUAAAACCAAAUCCAACAGAAGCAACCCAAACCAAGAGUGGACCAAACCAGAAUUUGAAUCAACCAAAAAUAAAAUCAGAUCACAGGUGAACCAAACCAAAUGAACCAGAUUUUAAAUAAACCAGUAGACCAAGCCAGACCAAAUGCUGAACCAAUUGUUGGAAGAGGAACAGGCUGGUGCACUGGGUGGUGGCUAGCAGUGUCGAAUUGGCAACCUGAACGAAACAAAACCCAACGACGGGAUGGACGAUGGCGACGCUUGGACAGGACUCAACCCGACGACGAUUGGCGGCGCUUGAGCAAUGGCUGAAAGUGCAGACGAGCGCUAAUAGCGGUGGACUAGCGUGUGAAACCUGAGAGAGAAAGAGAUGAACGGUAGCGCCUCGAGCUAACCCGUGCGACAACGGCGGCAUCAGGCAACUAAAGUUGGAGGCGCGCGUCUUCCUUCAAGCAGCGACUAGGGUUGAUUUUGCAUGAAAGGCAACACGCGAUUGGGGGGAGGAGGCUGCACAUCGUGAACCGAGGGAAAGAAGGAUUUUUUCCCUUUUUUUUUUUUUUUUUUUAAGUUUAGGUUUAAAAGAAAAAAAUUAGGGUUUUUAAGAUUUCCCUUGCUUUGAUACCAUGUAGAAGUUGGAGGUAUAGAAAUAUUAAUCUCCUUUUUCUCUUAUUCAAUAUGUGCAGGUUAGAUCUUCUUAUAUAGGAGAAAGACUUUUUACAAAUAUGGAAAGAAUAAAGACAAAUAACGAAAAAAAUAUUCGUAUACAAAUAUAGAAAUUCCUACACUUUUGUAUGCAUAGGUUCCUUUUUCUCUUAAGGAUUCCCUUUUUUGUAUUACUCAUUUGUACUCUUUCAUUUUCUUAAAUAGAACUUUGGUUUCCGGAAAAGUAAUGUCACACCAUCCACAGACACACGUGAGAAUUUUUUUAGUUAUAACUGUAAAUUAUAUAUUUAAUUACAACAUCCCUAGGCUCACUUCAGGAAUUUCUUAGUUAUAACUGAAAUUAUAUGUAUAAUCACAACAUUGCUUACAUCAUAAAAUUUCUACUUGUAUAGAACCCCAUGCCUAACAUUUAACAACCUAUUCAUUUUACUUAUUCUUUAGAGCCCCCUUCCUCAGUCCUCCCUCGCAGUCUUCCUAUGAUAUCUAUAAAUAACAUAGGGAACCUAUUAUCGUUUUAUCUUUUAUGCGAAGAAAAGGAAGUUGGUUGAUAAAUAAACCCAACACUGUAAAACUAUUUGUUCCUCUUUUGCCCCCAUGUCAGCUCACCAUACGUCUCCCCAGCAUUUAAAUACUGCCUUUGUGUUUUUAAAGCUUAAGCAGUUUACACUCUCACAUCCAUGUUGCAUAACUAUAUAAGUGUGCUUUUAUGCGUGCACAAGAGGCAGUCUGUUGGCGUUGUUCUUCUAGCCUUCUAACUAUUACAGGAAGCUGAACCCUAGUUAAGUCUCGUAGCAUUCUAAUGGUAGAAGAAAUAGGCGCCUCUUAUCAACCAAUGAUACUUAAGUGAGAUGUCAUUUUAUGUUGAGGCUCAAGUCUAAAAACAUGUUAUUUUAUUUUAUUUUGUGCAAAAAGACUACCUAAUAGCCUACAAUUGAGUUAAUGUUUUAUUUCAGAGAAUUGGUUGCAUUUCUCCUACAUUAGUUGGUAAUUAAGAAAGAAUAUGAUAUAGGAAAGUGAAUAAUGGAGAUAAUUGCAUGAAUAUAGGAAUAGGGCCUUCCUUGCCCACCAAUUCACCAGGAAUGAUCAAACAAUUAUGUAAGAGUGUCCUUGAAAUAAGACUUUGAAGCGAGCUAUACUUGAAAGAUUGAGCUCAAAAACUGAAGUUGGAUAAUAUGCAUGUUUAGGUUGCAAUCUGUCCAAUUAACUAGAGAACCAAACUAAUUAAGAACACCUAUAGCAAAAGGAUUUUGACGUGGUCCAGGAAAUAAUUAUUUAUACUCUGCACCUUCACAAUUUAUUAGCCAUCUCCCUGCACCUUUCGUUAAUAUACAUUUGUGUUUUGAAUCAUUAUUUGCUUCAACUUCAAACAAACAUCCUAAUUGAUUAUGUGCAUCUGUAGGUUCCUUUCACCACGUUUAACCUGACGCAGCAUAAUACUUUCUCUGGGAACUCAGUGCCUCUGUGGUUGAUGCCUCCGGCCAAUACCGGAGCACUUGGUAGCAUCGCUUGUUCUUUAAAUGUUCCUCAAGGAUCAGGAUGUCGGGCAGUUGAUAUUGUCAAAGGUUAAAUGGAAGAGGCACAAUUGAUGGUAAAUAUUGCUAUUGAGGUCUCGUUGAGCAAGAACGAUGGUGAAGAUCCUCUUACAACGGUUUGUGGUGCCUUGCAUUCUUUUGAUAAUCAGAAUUCAUCGUUUGAGAUUCAAAAACCUUUAAGCAUGUCCCAAGAUAUGAACGAUAGCCUAGGAGCCCACUUUAAUCAGUUCUACUGGUCUAAACACAUUUCCACUGGUGAUCUAUCUAGUUCGAGAUCGAGACAUUCCGAUAGAGAUUAUGGAGGAAUUCCUUCAAAUCUUAUCACUUCAUGUGUUGCUACUUUGCUCAUGAUACAGGGUUUUGUGGAGGUGUGAGUUUACACUUUUGCUCACAGCCGCCAUCUUUGGUUCGUUCGCCGCCGUUAGCCGCCGGAAAAAAAGGUAGUUUUUCGACACCGCCCAGUCCGUCGAGGAGCCCAGCCGCUGGAAAAAGGUAAUAGAGUGUUUGAUGUUUGUAAGACUAUAUCAACCUGAUCAAGGAGAAAAAUCUCUUACAAGCUACUGUAUGGAGGUUAAAAAUACAUGUGCGGAAUUCAAUGCCUUGAUGCCAAUCAGCACGGAUCCAAAAGUUCUAAUGGCCCAACGUGAAAAGUUGUUUAUCAUGAGUUUUUUAGUAGUAGGUCUUGCACCUAAAUAUGAGAUGGCCAAAGAUCAAGUGUUGUCAAGCUCAAAUAUCUCAUUGUUGGAAGAAGCUUACACUCGAAUACUUCGUAUUGAGAAGACACAAGCAGUUACAUCAUUUGAUUCUAGUAGUGCUUUGAUUGGGUGCACAAAUGAUGAUAGAAAGGGGGUUGAAUCAAAUAGCUCCAAAGGUCAUCCCAAUAACCAAAGAUCAAAUCCAUGAGGUGUUGUUUGCUAUUAUUGUCAUAAACCUGGUCAUAUGAAACGUGAAUGCAGAAGAUUGAUGAAUAAGGGUUAGAGGAUGUCAUCACCCUCUGCACAUGUCGCCUCUACUCCUGAUAAUAUUGACAAGUCAAUUACAAUUUUUGCAGAGGAGUUUGCUAAAUUUCAGCAGUAUCAAGACUCAUUGAGGGCAUCAUCUUCUACUCCCAUUACGGCGUCUAUGCCUUCUUUCCUCCACGUCAAAAUGGGUCAUUGACUCUGGUGCUACAGACCAUAUGACAGGAUCUUACGACGAAGCUGACUACUGGUAAAGGGUGUGAAUUUGGAGGUCUUUACAUCUUUGAACCACAAACACCUACGACCAUCACAUGCUCAAGUGUGUCGUCUCUCUUUGAAGAGAAUUGUCGUUUGGGUCAUCCGUCUAUCUCUGUGUUGAAGAGUCUUCGUCCACAACUUCAACAUUUGUCUUCUUUAGAUUGUGAGUUGUCAGUUUGCUAAAUUUCAUCGUUUGAGUUUGUAUCCUCGAGUCAAUAAACGAGUUAGUGCUCCUUUUGAAUUAGCCUAUUCUGGUGUUUGGGGUCUAUAUCCUGUUGAGUCCAAAGGAGGGUUUAGGUAUUUUGUUACAUUUGUCGAUGACUAUUCUCGUGUUACGUGGUUAUAUUUAAUGAAAAGUUGUUAUGAGUUACUUUCUCA
Non-coding RNA from Benincasa hispida (wax gourd), 4354 nucleotides. NCBI's taxonomy places the organism in Eukaryota, Viridiplantae, Streptophyta, Magnoliopsida, Cucurbitales, Cucurbitaceae. The record is from RefSeq and is a predicted model, not a curated record.